RNAcentral lists this ribosomal RNA (292 nucleotides) under uncultured bacterium. RNAcentral describes it as "partial 16S ribosomal RNA". The record is from RNAcentral.
GGACUACUGGGGUAUCUAAUCCCGUUCGCUCCCCAUGCUUUCGUGGCUGAGCGUCAGGUACGAGCCAGGGGGCCGCCUUCGCCUCUGGGGUUCCUCCGGAUCUCUACGCAUUUCACCACUACACCCGGAAUUCCACCCCCCUCUCUCGUCCUCUAGAGUGACAGUCUGGCAUAACCCCUCCCAGUUAAGCUGGGACAUUUCAUACACCACUUGUCACCCCGCCUGCACACCCUUUACGCCCAGUAAUUCCGGAUAACGCUUGCCACCUACGUUUUACCGCGGCUGCUGGCAC